Long non-coding RNA from Amphiprion ocellaris (clown anemonefish), 947 nucleotides. The record is from Ensembl. NCBI's taxonomy places the organism in Eukaryota, Metazoa, Chordata, Actinopteri, Pomacentridae.
UCUGGUCAAGAUGGCACUGAUUGAGCAGCAGCCACUUGCAGCAGCUUUGACCCUUCUCUUUGUUUAUAGUGACCUUUUCGCACUUUUAGCUUUCAUCUACUGUUUUCUUUUCUACAGUAGUCGCUCCGGCAAACGUCCAUUCCUUGGUGUUAAGCUGGUGAGACUGCUGCUGUGUUUUUUUUACUGUUUUCUGGACUCUUAAAUACCACAUUGGCGAACACUCUUGGUCGUAGCCCAGCUGUUGCUUACACACGGGAGCAGCUGUUGGCACUUAGCCAGGCUACGCAACAUCCCGAAGCGCAAUUGGAGAUCCCCGCCGAACUACGGAGGAGAAGGAGGGGAUGCAAACAUGAGGUCUCUCCUAAAUAAGACGGAUGAGCUAGCAGCGCUAACGCGGCUACAGCGGGAGUACCGGGAGUGCAGUCUACUUCACUUCACAGAAGCCUGGCUGAACGAGCUAACCCCGGACUCACUGGUGCAGCUCGACGGGUUUCAUCUGAUCAGAGCAGACAGAGACAUGAGGGAGAGUGAUUCAGAGUAAUAGAAGAGUCGGAGAAAGCUGAGAGCGGCGAGUCGAAACACUGAGGAGACACACAGGAGAGUUUGGGAGGCGAUACAGCAGUAUCAAGCUGAAGACAAGAGGAUAUGAACGAGACGACAUAUGAGGAUGCUCUCUGAUGAGACUUCAUGGGAUUUACCUGAAGCAGCAGCACAUGAGCCUGCAGUGGCACAAGGUGUAGAGGAGGAGGACAGAGAUGUACAGGAUGCACUGAUGUAUACGUGUCAUGCAAAAGUUAGAAGUUAUUCUUCUUGUUAUACUUCUGUUUUUCUGUCCCCGGACCGCUAUUGUUUUCUUUAAUGCAGUUCUGACAAUAAACUUUUGUAGAUGUGUCUGUGCUAUUGUUUGUUUGUGAAGGUUAGCAAGAUUAAAUAAAAAAUUAAACGCC